This 460-nucleotide ribosomal RNA is filed under the name Idioplana australiensis. RNAcentral describes it as "partial large subunit ribosomal RNA". It matches the Rfam family "Bacterial large subunit ribosomal RNA", at positions 1830 to 2605 of the family's 2925-position model. Lineage: Eukaryota; Metazoa; Platyhelminthes; Polycladida; Pseudostylochidae. The record is from RNAcentral.
UUCCUUUAGAAGAUAUUUGAAGGUAGUACCUGCUCUAUGUAAUGAGAUAUAAAUGGCUGCGGUAAUUUAACUGCACUAAGGUAGCGUAAUUAAUUGUCUUUUAAAUGGUGACUUGUUUGAAUGGUUUUAUGAGAAAAUACAUUUCUUUAAAUUAAAUAGAAUUUAUAUUUUAGGGUCAAAAUACCUAAAUUUAUUAGAAAGACGAGAAGACCCUGUUGAAUUUUACAAUUUUAUAAUUGUUUAAAUGGGAUAUUUAAUCUCUUAAUUAGAUUUUUAAGAUCCUAAAUUUUUUAAUAUUUUUGGAAAAAGGAUAAAAUUACCACAGGGAUAACAGGACAAAUACUCCUUGAGAGUUCUAAUCGAAGGGAGGGAUUGUUACCUCGAUGUUGAAUCGGAGAUCACAUUUUGGUGUAGCAGCUAAAAAAGUAGGUCUGUUCGACCUUUAAAUUUCCACGUGAUU